UACGAAGGGGGCUAGCGUUGUUCGGAUUUACUGGGCGUAAAGCGCGCGUAGGCGGGUCACUAAGUCAGGGGUGAAAUCCCGAGGCUUAACCUCGGAACUGCCUUUGAUACUGGUGACCUGGAGAUCGGGAGAGGUUGGUGGAAUUCCGAGUGUAGAGGUGAAAUUCGUAGAUAUUCGCAAGAACACCAGUGGCGAAGGCGGCUCACUGGCCCGAUACUGACGCUGAGGUGCGAAAGCGUGGGGAGCAAACAGG
RNAcentral lists this ribosomal RNA (253 nucleotides) under uncultured bacterium. RNAcentral's name for it is "partial 16S ribosomal RNA". It matches the Rfam family "Bacterial small subunit ribosomal RNA", at positions 524 to 776 of the family's 1533-position model. The record is from RNAcentral.